UGGGCUAGAAUGCCCGUGACAGCCCCAGAGAUGGGGCCUCCUUGGUAAAACUUGGCACGGUGCAAGGUGCUGCAUGGCUGUCAUCAGCUCGUGUCGUGAGAUGUUGGGUUAAGUCCCGCAACGAGCGCAACCCUUAUCAAUAGUUGCCAGCGGUUCGGCCGGGCACUCUAUUGAGACUGCCGUUGACAAAACGGAGGAAGGUGGGGAUGACGUCAAGUCCUCAUGGCCUUUAUGUCCAGGGCUACACACGUGCUACAAUGGCCGGUACAAAGCGCUGCAAACCUGCAAGGGGGAGCCAAUCGCAAAAAACCGGUCUCAGUUCGGAUUGGAGUCUGCAACUCGACUCCAUGAGGCUGGAAUCGCUAGUAAUCGCAGAUCAGCAUGCUGCGGUGAAUACGUUCCCGGGUCUUGUACACACGC
RNAcentral lists this ribosomal RNA (420 nucleotides) under uncultured Acidobacteriota bacterium. RNAcentral describes it as "bacterial SSU rRNA". It matches the Rfam family "Bacterial small subunit ribosomal RNA", at positions 976 to 1393 of the family's 1533-position model. The record is from RNAcentral. Lineage: Bacteria; Pseudomonadati; Acidobacteriota.